Molecule: ribosomal RNA, 352 nt
Filed under: Sclerodermus guani
Lineage: Eukaryota; Metazoa; Arthropoda; Insecta; Hymenoptera; Bethylidae
Description: eukaryotic LSU rRNA
Rfam family: Eukaryotic large subunit ribosomal RNA
Source: RNAcentral
GACCCGUCUUGAAACACGGACCAAGGAGUCUAACAUGUGCGCGAGUCAUUGGGACAUCGCAUGCCUAAAGGCGAAAUGAAAGUAAAGGUCGGCCUUAGCGCCAACCGAGGGAGGAUGGGCCGCGUCAAGAUGCGGCUCCGCACUCCCGGGGCGUCUCGUUCUCAUUGCGAGAAGAGGCGCACCCAGAGCGUACACGUUGGGACCCGAAAGAUGGUGAACUAUGCCUGGUCAGGACGAAGUCAGGGGAAACCCUGAUGGAGGUCCGUAGCGAUUCUGACGUGCAAAUCGAUCGUCGGAACUGGGUAUAGGGGCGAAAGACUAAUCGAACCAUCUAGUAGCUGGUUCCUUCCGA